This 1524-nucleotide ribosomal RNA is filed under the name human gut metagenome. RNAcentral describes it as "bacterial LSU rRNA". It matches the Rfam family "Bacterial large subunit ribosomal RNA", at positions 447 to 1977 of the family's 2925-position model. The record is from RNAcentral.
CCGGGACCAUCCGGUAAGGCUAAAUACUCCCGAGAGACCGAUAGCGAACCAGUACUGUGAAGGAAAGGUGAAAAGCACUUCGAACAGAAGAGUGAAAUAGUUCCUGAAACCAUGUGCCUACAAGCGGUCGGAGCACCUUUUGGUGUGACGGCGUGCCUUUUGCAUAAUGAACCUACGAGUUACUUUUUCCGGCGAGGUUAAGGAUUUCAGAUCUGCAGCCGAAGCGAAAGCGAGUCUGAACAGGGCGUAUAGUCGGAAGGAGUAGACGCGAAACCAAGUGAUCUACCCUUGGGCAGGUUGAAGGAUGGGUAACACCAUCUGGAGGACCGAACCAAUAAGCGUUGAAAAGCUUCUGGAUGACCUGAGGGUGGGGGUGAAAGGCUAAUCAAACUUGGAGAUAGCUCGUACUCCCCGAAAUGCAUUUAGGUGCAGCCUUGCGGGUUACUGAUGUGAGGUAGAGCGACUGAUAAGAUGCGAGGGCUUCACCGCCUAUCAAGUCUUGACAAACUCCGAAUGCGUGUCAGUUCUAUGUCAGGAGUGAGGGCAUGGGUGCUAAGGUCCAUGUCCUAAAGGAGAACAAUCCGGACCAACAGCUAAGGUCCCGAAAUGAAUACUAAGUUGAACUAACGAAGUCAGAUUGCUAAGACAGCUAGGAUGUUGGCUUGGAAGCAGCCAUUCAUUUAAAGAGUGCGUAACAGCUCACUAGUCGAGGAGUUUGGCGUGGAUAAUAAUCGGGCAUAAGUAUUCUACCGAAGCUUUGGGAUGAGAAAUCAUCGGUAGGGGAGCAUUCCACUCGGCGUCGAAGGUGAGGCGCGAGCUUUGCUGGAGCGUGUGGAAAAGCAAAUGUAGGUAUAAGUAACGAUAAAGGGGGUGGGAAACCCCCUCGCCGAAAGACUAAGGUUUCCUGAUCAACGCUAAUCGGAUCAGGGUAAGUCGGGUCCUAAGGCUCAGCCGAACGGCGAGGCCGAUGGCAGAACCGGUUAAUAUUCCGGUACUACCUGUGGGAGUGACGUGGAGACGGAGUCGUGACAGCGCCGCGGACUGACGGAAUAGUCCGUUGAAGGGUGUAGAUGCUGAUUGUUCCAGGCAAAUCCGGAGCAAGAGUCGAACCUGAUAGUAUGGAGCGUUCUUAGAACAAUCCAAUAGUGCGUGUAAUCAUACUUCCAAGAAAAUCCGCUAAACUUAAUCCUGCAGGUACCCGUACCGCAAACGGACACACGUAGUCGGGUUGAAUAUACUAAGGCGCUUGAGUGAUUCACGGUUAAGGAACUAGGCAAACUGACCCUGUAACUUCGGGAUAAAGGGUCCUCGCUUUACGGCGAGGCGCAGAGAAUAGGUCCAGGCAACUGUUUAACAAAAACACAGGGCUGUGCAAAAUUGAAAGAUGAAGUAUACAGCCUGACACCUGCCCGGUGCUGGAAGGUUAAGAGGAGAUGUCAUCGCAAGAGAAGCAUUGAAUUGAAGCCCCAGUAAACGGCGGCCGUAACUAUAACGGUCCUAAGGUAGCGAAAUUCCUUGUCGGGU